RNAcentral lists this long non-coding RNA (828 nucleotides) under Monodelphis domestica (gray short-tailed opossum). Its description in RNAcentral is "lncRNA (ENSMODG00000031748.2)". Lineage: Eukaryota; Metazoa; Chordata; Mammalia; Didelphimorphia; Didelphidae. The record is from RNAcentral.
UGUGCCUUGCCCAUGGCCACAGCUGUUGACAGGGCGCGCUUUCUGCAGCCCAGUCCCUGUGAGGAGCCCUCAUGGGGCGCUUUUAUCUGAAGAGUUCCUUUGCCCCUUUAGACCUCCCUGGCUUAGAGCUGACGUUCUCCCUGUCAUAUCACUUACGCUCUGAUCAGAGGUGUUUAUCACCCUCUUCUUCUGAGUGAUAUUGUUGCUGUGUAAUUUACUUACUUGGCUGACUUCAGCUUGGAGGCUUGCACUUUGUUGACGGAGAUUGUUUCUAGGGAUUAUCUAAACCUCUUCUCCAUUACCAUUUUUGAAGUGAACAUUAUACAGCUUCGAUGCUGAAGUACAGCUCCCUCCAGCCUUCUCUCUCUUUCUGCAGCCAUCACACACAAGCAUGCCGAAGCCCUGUGUUGGAAUGGAUGGCUCCUGCCUGGGGGCCAUCAUUAUUCCCUCGCCACUUGCCUCAGCAAACCUUGGGGACACUGAAGGCUCCAAAGGAAAUGGCAAACUACCACAGUAUCUUUGCCAAGACCAGUCAAAAUGAGGCCAUGGAAAGUUGGGCAUGACUGAACAACAACAAGAAAAUUUGACCAGGCUAAUAUUGAAAUGUCUUCAGCACAUUUGCCCAGCAGCAUGAAGAGAACAUGUGAAGGGGAGGCAGGAGUUGUAAAUAGGUGACCUGACACCCAGGCUGUGUGACCAGAGGCGAGCUGGUUUACUUUCCUGAGACUACAUUUUGUUGAUCCAAUGGGAAUAACGAUACCUACCUUUCUGGCCUCUCAGGGUUAUAAAACUGACAUGAAAUAAUAAAUGUGAAAGUAGAACUUUCCA